AGACACCAUCGUCCUAUUUUUUCACCCUGCUUGCAUUCCCAUUAACUCCUCUUCAGCAAAACAAAAAAAUCAAGCCUUACUGGUUCUCCCUACCUCCUGAUAGCUACCUACCUAGACUGCUUGGCAGACACAGUUCUGUAGGCUACUUUCUUAUCAAGAGUUGGCAAUUAGAAGAGGCCCUUGGAGAGGAGGUGGGAGUGCUCCUUAAAGUCCUCAUCAGAAUGGAAUUGCUGACCGGGUUCAUUAGGCUACGGAUUUGCAGCAAGACUUGGAUUCUAUUGCAAUCCUCCUCGCCCUCUGACUAAUAUGAAUGACACCGUGGUUAGCCACAUGUCCUCUGGAGUGCCCACUCCCACCAAGAGUGUUCUGGACAGUCCUAGCCGACUGGAUGAGGAACACCGUCUUAUAGCUCGCUAUGCUGCCCGGCUGGCUGCAGAAGCAGGAAACGUGACUCGUCCUCCCACUGACUUGAGCUUUAACUUUGAUGCCAACAAACAACAAAGACAGCUUAUUGCAGAACUGGAAAACAAAAACAG
RNAcentral lists this small RNA (536 nucleotides) under Pan troglodytes (chimpanzee). RNAcentral's name for it is "processed transcript". Lineage: Eukaryota; Metazoa; Chordata; Mammalia; Primates; Hominidae. The record is from RNAcentral.